This 1371-nucleotide ribosomal RNA is filed under the name uncultured bacterium. RNAcentral's name for it is "bacterial SSU rRNA". It matches the Rfam family "Bacterial small subunit ribosomal RNA", at positions 28 to 1381 of the family's 1533-position model. The record is from RNAcentral.
GAUGAACGCUGGCGGCGUGCCUAAUACAUGCAAGUCGAGCGAACGGACGAGAAGCUUGCUUCUCUGAUGUUAGCGGCGGACGGGUGAGUAACACGUGGAUAACCUACCUAUAAGACUGGGAUAACUUCGGGAAACCGGAGCUAAUACCGGAUGAUAUUUUGAACCGCAUGGUUCAAAAGUGAAAGACGGUCUUGCUGUCACUUAUAGAUGGAUCCGCGCUGCAUUAGCUAGUUGGUAAGGUAACGGCUUACCAAGGCAACGAUGCAUAGCCGACCUGAGAGGGUGAUCGGCCACACUGGAACUGAGACACGGUCCAGACUCCUACGGGAGGCAGCAGUAGGGAAUCUUCCGCAAUGGGCGAAAGCCUGACGGAGCAACGCCGCGUGAGUGAUGAAGGUCUUCGGAUCGUAAAACUCUGUUAUUAGGGAAGAACAUAUGUGUAAGUAACUGUGCACAUCUUGACGGUACCUAAUCAGAAAGCCACGGCUAACUACGUGCCAGCAGCCGCGGUAAUACGUAGGUGGCAAGCGUUAUCCGGAAUUAUUGGGCGUAAAGCGCGCGUAGGCGGUUUUUUAAGUCUGAUGUGAAAGCCCACGGCUCACCGUGGAGGGUCAUUGGAAACUGGAAAACUUGAGUGCAGAAGAGGAAAGUGGAAUUCCAUGUGUAGCGGUGAAAUGCGCAGAGAUAUGGAGGAACACCAGUGGCGAAGGCGACUUUCUGGUCUGUAACUGACGCUGAUGUGCGAAAGCGUGGGGAUCAAACAGGAUUAGAUACCCUGGUAGUCCACGCCGUAAACGAUGAGUGCUAAGUGUUAGGGGGUUUCCGCCCCUUAGUGCUGCAGCUAACGCAUUAAGCACUCCGCCUGGGGAGUACGACCGCAAGGUUGAAACUCAAAGGAAUUGACGGGGACCCGCACAAGCGGUGGAGCAUGUGGUUUAAUUCGAAGCAACGCGAAGAACCUUACCAAAUCUUGACAUCCUUUGACAACUCUAGAGAUAGAGCCUUCCCCUUCGGGGGACAAAGUGACAGGUGGUGCAUGGUUGUCGUCAGCUCGUGUCGUGAGAUGUAGGGUUAAGUCCCGCAACGAGCGCAACCCUUAAGCUUAGUUGCCAUCAUUAAGUUGGGCACUCUAAGUUGACUGCCGGUGACAAACCGGAGGAAGGUGGGGAUGACGUCAAAUCAUCAUGCCCCUUAUGAUUUGGGCUACACACGUGCUACAAUGGACAAUACAAAGGGCAGCGAAACCGCGAGGUCAAGCAAAUCCCAUAAAGUUGUUCUCAGUUCGGAUUGUAGUCUGCAACUCGACUACAUGAAGCUGGAAUCGCUAGUAAUCGUAGAUCAGCAUGCUACGGUGAAUACGUUCCCGGGUCU